Molecule: transfer RNA, 60 nt
Filed under: Haemaphysalis tibetensis
Lineage: Eukaryota; Metazoa; Arthropoda; Arachnida; Ixodida; Ixodidae
Description: tRNA-Val
Source: RNAcentral
AAAAAUGAAAUCAUUAGAUGUUUCAUUUACAAUGAAAAUUUUGUUUUUUAAACCAUUUUU